This 444-nucleotide ribosomal RNA is filed under the name uncultured bacterium. RNAcentral's name for it is "bacterial SSU rRNA". It matches the Rfam family "Bacterial small subunit ribosomal RNA", at positions 355 to 796 of the family's 1533-position model. The record is from RNAcentral.
UAAGGAAUAUUGGUCAAUGGAGGCAACUCUGAACCAGCCAUGCCGCGUGAAGGAUGAAGGCGCUAUGCGUCGUAAACUUCUUUUAUAUGGGAAAAAACCUCUGAACGUGUUCGGAGCUGAUGGUACCAUAAGAAUAAGGAUCGGCUAACUCCGUGCCAGCAGCCGCGGUAAUACGGAGGAUCCAAGCGUUAUCCGGAUUCAUUGGGUUUAAAGGGUGCGUAGGCGGCUUGUUAAGUCAGCGGUGAAAUCUCAGGGCUUAACCCUGAAACUGCCAUUGAUACUGACGAGCUUGAGUACACUUGAAGUGGGCGGAAUGUGUCGUGUAGCGGUGAAAUGCUUAGAUAUGACACAGAACACCGAUUGCGAAGGCAGCUCACUAAAUUGUCACUGACGCUGAGGCACGAAAGCGUGGGGAUCAAACAGGAUUAGAUACCCCCGUAGUCC